This 260-nucleotide ribosomal RNA is filed under the name uncultured prokaryote. RNAcentral's name for it is "partial 16S ribosomal RNA". It matches the Rfam family "Bacterial small subunit ribosomal RNA", at positions 524 to 782 of the family's 1533-position model. The record is from RNAcentral.
UACGGAGGAUCCGAGCGUUAUCCGGAUUUAUUGGGUCUAAAGGGUGCGCAGGCGGAAGAUUAAGUCGGUGGUGAAAUUUUGCAGCUCAACUGUAAAAGUGCCAUUGAUACUGGUUUUCUUGAGUGUGGAUGAAGUAGGCGGAAUUUGUGGUGUAGCGGUGAAAUGCAUAGAUAUCACGAGGAACUCCGAUUGCGCAGGCAGCUUACUAAACCAUAACUGACGCUCAGGCACGAAGGCGUGGGGAGUCAAACAGGAUUAGA